This is a non-coding RNA of Oryza nivara, 107 nucleotides long. The record is from Rfam. Lineage: Eukaryota; Viridiplantae; Streptophyta; Magnoliopsida; Poales; Poaceae.
AUCCCAUGAUGAGGACUGGCGGCCAUGUACUCCUGCAGACGCUCCCAUGCUUCAGGAAUAGACUCAACCCUCGUCUGCUGGAAACUUGAAAUCCUUCCACGAAGGGC